Molecule: ribosomal RNA, 153 nt
Filed under: Collybia nuda
Lineage: Eukaryota; Fungi; Basidiomycota; Agaricomycetes; Agaricales; Clitocybaceae
Also listed under: 15 other names
Description: Lepista nuda 5.8S ribosomal RNA
Rfam family: 5.8S ribosomal RNA
About the family: 5.8S ribosomal RNA (5.8S rRNA) is a component of the large subunit of the eukaryotic ribosome. It is transcribed by RNA polymerase I as part of the 45S precursor that also contains 18S and 28S rRNA.
Source: RNAcentral
AACUUUCAACAACGGAUCUCUUGGCUCUCGCAUCGAUGAAGAACGCAGCGAAAUGCGAUAAGUAAUGUGAAUUGCAGAAUUCAGUGAAUCAUCGAAUCUUUGAACGCACCUUGCGCUCCUUGGUAUUCCGAGGAGCAUGCCUGUUUGAGUGUC